UACGUAGGGUGCGAGCGUGAAUCGGAAUUACUGGGCGUAAAGCGUGCGCAGGCGGUCUGUUAAGACCGAUGUGAAAUCCCCGGGCUUAACCUGGGAACUGCAUCGGUGACUGGCAGGCUUUGAGUGUGGCAGAGGGAGGUAGAAUUCCACGUGUAGCAGUGAAAUGCGUAGAGAUGUGGAGGAAUACCGAUGGCGAAGGCAGCCUCCUGGGCCAACACUGACGCUCAUGCACGAAAGCGUGGGGAGCAAACAGG
Molecule: ribosomal RNA, 254 nt
Filed under: uncultured bacterium
Lineage: Bacteria
Description: partial 16S ribosomal RNA
Rfam family: Bacterial small subunit ribosomal RNA
Source: RNAcentral